RNA transcript from Nycticebus coucang (slow loris), 1442 nucleotides. It is a transcript of the gene named stomatin-like protein 2, mitochondrial, with no coding region annotated. The record is from RefSeq and is a predicted model, not a curated record. Lineage: Eukaryota; Metazoa; Chordata; Mammalia; Primates; Lorisidae. The transcript has a single exon.
AUAGUUGUAUAAGAAGACUCUUCAGGAAAAAAGUGAACUCAGAGUUUAUGAUGAAUGAAAAAGAAUAUCUAAUGAAUUAUAUUCCUGGAUACUAAAAAACAGUCUUUUGUUAAGAAAAAGAACCUGGAGUGGAACUGCGGGAGGAGCGGCUCCAGUCAGCUUUGUAACGACUGCUCUGCCCCGUGUCUGGUUGGUUCCUGAGGUCGCGGCAGCCUUGGGAAAUGCUGGCGUGCGCGGCGCGGGGCACUGGGGCCCUUUUGCUGAGGGGCUCUCUGCAGGCUUCUGGCCGUUCUCCGCGCCGCGCCUCCUCCGGAUUGCCCCGAAACACCGUGGUACUGUUUGUGCCACAACAGGAGGCCUGGGUGGUGGAGCGAAUGGGCCGAUUCCACCGGAUCCUGGAGCCUGGUUUGAACAUUUCUCAUCCCUGUGUUAGACCGGAUCCGGUAUGUGCAGAGUCUCAAGGAAAUUGUCAUCAACGUGCCUGAGCAGUCAGCUAUGACUCUUGACAGUGUAACUCUGCAAAUUGAUGGGGUGCUUUACCUGCGCAUCAUGGACCCUUACAAGGCAAGCUAUGGGAUGGAAGACCCUGAGUAUGCUGUCACCCAGCUGGCUCAGACAACCAUGAGAUCAGAGCUCGGCAAACUCUCUCUGGACAGAGUCUUCAGGGAACAGGAGUCCCUGAAUGCCAGCAUUGUGGAUGCCAUCAACCAGGCUGCUGACUGCUGGGGCAUCCGCUGCCUUCAUUAUGAGAUCAAGGAUAUUCAUGUGCCACCCUGAGUGAAAGAGUCCAUGCAGAUGCAGGUGGAGGCAGAGCGUCGGGACGGGCCACAGUUCUAGAAUCUGAGGGGACCCGAGAGUUGGCUUUCAAUGUGGCAGAGGGAAAGAAACAGGCCCAGAUCCUGGCCUCUGAAGCAGAAAAGGCUGAACAAAUAAAUCAGGCCUCAGGAGAGGCCAGUGCAGUGCUGGCCAAGGCCAAGGCUAAGGCUGAAGCUAUUCGCAUCCUGGCUGCAGCUCUGACACAACACAAUGGAGAUGCAGCAGCUUCACUAACUGUGGCUGAGCAGUAUGUCAGUGCAUUCUCCAAACUGGCCAAGGACUCCAACACUAUCUUGCUGCCCUCCAAUCCCGGUGAUGUCACUAGUAUGGUGGCUCAGGCCAUGGGUGUAUAUGGGGCCCUCACCAAAGCUCCACUGCCAGGGACCCAGGACUCAGUCACCAGUGAGAACAGCAGAGAUGUCCAGGGCACAGAUACAAGUCUUGAUGAAGAAUUUGAUCGAUUCAAGCUGAGUUAGUGGAAUUAGGCUUGGCAGGGAGCCUGGAGACAAAGAAGCAGUACUUCCAAAUUCUGGUUGUAGCCCCCCUGCCAAGGUUUUGGUUUUUAUUUUUUUAUUUGAACUUUAAUCAUGUAAUAAACACACUAUUGGUAAACCAGAAAAAAAAAA